Molecule: long non-coding RNA, 1867 nt
Filed under: Erythranthe guttata (spotted monkey flower)
Lineage: Eukaryota; Viridiplantae; Streptophyta; Magnoliopsida; Lamiales; Phrymaceae
Description: long non-coding RNA (EGUT_LNC001662)
Source: RNAcentral
GUUUCUCUCGUCAAUAACCUCCAAGAAACAGCCCUCCCACGGCCUUCAACUUAGCCCAAAGCAUCCCAAGAUCAUCCAUGGCCAAAACUCGAAGACCUCCAUGAAUCCUUCGAUUUCUCCUUCUCUUGUCUUUGAUUUUCUUCAAAUGGGUAAGGACCCAUUGGUCUUUACUAAAAUUUAAUUGCAUGUUAAGUUUACUGAUGGUUUUAUGUUAAUAUUAUGGUUUUAUGUUAAUAUUAUAUGUCUGUAUUUAGGCCUGCGUGGUUGUGAUUAUACUCCAACCCAUGGCUUAUGUAUUAUAAGUAUGCUACUAUAUAUACAUAUAUAUUUGUAUGCCUACGUGGUCGUGAUUAUACUCCGAUCCAUGGCUUAUGAUUUAUACUUAUAUAUCUAAACUGUUGUUAUGUGAUCUUGCGGUAAAAGUAAAGUAUUCGAUGCUUUAUGUGAAAUAUUAGAUAGCUAUGGCCUAAGGUGCAUUUAAAUGCGAUAUAAGGGAUAUUUUUAAUGAUAGGAAUGUGUGAUUAUGUGAUUAUAUGAUUAUGUGAUUAUGUGACUAUGAUAUGGUUAAUGUUGAAGAAUGCCCUCCUUUGUGCUACUUUGGGUUAUGAAAUGUUUAUGUGUACUUAUGAAGUGAAAGUGUUAUGUUCUAUAUGAUUAUGUGUUAAUUGAUUUCAUUAAAUAUUUGAAGUAUAGUUGGUAUGGUACUUGUUACUUUGGUGUUGUUUGUGUGAAAGUAAAGAUAGAUAAAUCAUAUGAUUCAUCAGUAAGUCUAUGAUGCAUAAAUCAUUAUUUUUCAAAGUUAAAAAUGUUUGGAAAUUGGUUGUGGAUCUAGGUGAAUAAGUAUGGGAUACGGGGGGCUGGUAUUCCGUUAGUGGUUGAUAGUUGGGGUCCACAUAGGGACCUGUUCACAUAGGGACUGAUUCACAUAGGAAUCGGGAUUAUAAACCACUAACUCGGCUAUAGGAAAGUUAUAGCCGUGACUAUAUUCCGGUUAGUGGUUGAUAGUUGGGGUCUACAUAGGGACCUGUCCACAUAGGGACUGAUUCACAUAGGAAUCGGGAUUAUAAAUCACUAACUUGGCUAUAGUAAAGCUAUAGUCGUGACUAUAGUAAAGUUAUAGAUCACAAGCUACAAAAUACACGGCUUAUUGCCGAACUCCACAAUUGUUUUUCCAAACGGGCCCAAUGCUUUCUCAUGCAUUAUUUCAUGAAAAGUCUAGAAGUCUAAAGUUGCAUAUUGCAUAUUAAAGUUAAAAAGGGUGUUAAGUACCCUUAAAUGUUAGAAGGGUGUUAAGUACCCGAUUAUUAAAGAAAGUUGGAUGUUAAGUAUCCGUGAAAUGUUUAAAGUAACAGGUAAAAUGUGAGAUUCAUGUUAAGUGUAUGAAUGAAUGAUUGCAAGUUUAUUAGAUGCCUAAUUUUAUGUGUUAAGUUUCUUACGUGGCCAAUUAUAUGUGAUAUGAAUGAAUGUCAUGAUAUUGAAUAAAUUAAUAUAGUUAUGCCAUAAACGACAUAGAUAAAAAGAACAUAGACGAGGACUUUAGGACUCCCGUAGGGCGUGAGUGACACGUUGAGAGAGGUGUGAGUAUCGUCAGGCCAAUGUUCUUACUGAGCAAGUGGUUAGGCUCACGCUUUAUGCGAAUUCCCUUUUUAGGUUCUCAAUGUAAUCAGAGUGGCGCAGCGGAGCGGAGUUGGAGGAAUCACAAGCCUUGAUGCCUUAAAUGUUCUCUCCGGAUUUCUUAUAAAAUUAUGUCUCCAAUUUUCCUUUUAAAAGUCUAAUGUAUAAUGGAGAUCUUUACGAGUUCAUUUUGUACUCUGAUUCUGGAAUCUAGUCUAUUAAACCGGGGUAUAUAAAUAAAGUUUAUUUUCUU